AGGCAGGCCUCAAAUUCACAGUCCUCCUGCCUCAACCUCUUGAGUGCUGGGAUUUCAGAAUCGCCCUCCUCACCACCUGCGGAACAGAAGACAAAUGAUGCACCUUCACUCCAGCAUACUUAGAGGCAUUAUGAAUAAAGAGUCUACUAAGAAGGUUUAUCACGCCUCCCAGAAAAGUCAGCACACUACAAAUGCAGUGCAGUUUAUGGACUAUGAAUAGGAAACACUCUGAAAUUAAGUGAUAUAAACAAGCCAUACUUUAAACAAGAUGCUCUAAGCAUGCUAUACUAAAUGUAUACCAGUAUUUAUACUGAUCCAUUUAUUAACAUCCUGUGUGCUCAUCUUUCCACACUUACAUAAUUUACCAACAUUUGGUUUCAGUGAGGUCGCACAGUCCAUUAACUAUAUUUCUCAUUACUUUUCAUCAGCCAAUAAUAUUACCAUAGUCGUAAUACUUCCUGUACAUAGGUGAACUUUUCUUACAGCCCAUUUCUAUUUAAAGUUAUAACCACAACAAUUCAUGUGCAGACAGUUGUUGGAGCAGAAUUUCAUUUAAUUAUGUAAUUCUAAGUAGCUGAAGUAUAGUCAAGGUUCAUAAAAGGGAAAAUAAUCAGAGCAAGAAUAACCCAUCAGUGGUGGGUGUAAGAAUAAGGCAAUUAAGAUACUUGGCCCCUUCUGUGUGUAGAAGGCUGGAACACAUCUCUUCAUUUCUCGUUCCCCUGGUAUUUCCUCCUGUCAUAGACAGAAGGGCAAUUUAUUUCCCCUUACAUGGUGAGAAAGGUGAAGAAAUAAAGAAUGCAAAGGGCUGGGGAUUUAGCUCAGUGGUGCCGCUGCCUGCCUCGAAAGCACAGGGUCCUGAGUUUGAUCCCCAGUACCCCCCAAAAAGAAUGCAAUUUUAAAAUAGAUAUAAUAAAAGCCUUGCUACCUUCCUUGCUAAGGGUUAUGAAGUUCUGGUGAGGAACAUUUGAAAUUCCCUUGUAAACUGUAAAGGGAAAACCUUCUUCUGUGGCAGCCUUGCUUAAAAUCUGGCAGUGUCUUCCCUAGGACUUCAGGAUGAAGUUCAGAAUCUGUGUAUGCCUCAGUGAUCCUCCCUGACCUCAGCUCACACCUGCAGACAUCUCCUAUCUCUCAGUCACCUCCAGUGUUCCACAUACAUGACAAGCUUCCAUUCAUGCUCAUCCUUCUCUUUGUACCCUUACUUCUCUGUCCCUUACAUCUGUGUAGGUAUUCCUCCUCCAUGUCCCCUUCGAAACACAUGCUUUCUCUCAAGCAACACUUCCCAGCAGCAGCACCGUGGGCAUUCUGGACAGGACAGGAUUUUUUUUUAAUUGAGGAGGGUUGGCAGGGCACUAUAGAGUGUUUAGCAGCAUCAGUGACCUCUAUCCACUAGAUGCCAGUAGCAGGCCCCUCAUUUUGACAACCACUUUCCCCAGAAACAAAUUGCAUUUGCUGAGAACCACUGCUCUAAGGUACAGCUUAUACUGGAACCAGUUGUAGUCUAACUAUAGCCAGAUGCUCACAAAAUGUACACACAAAUAAAAAUGCAGCUUUCUUUGUUAGUAGAGGACUGAUCUUGCUUUCAAGCCACCAAGCCACCAUCACACUGGUGAGAGAAAAUAUUUGAUCUGGCUAAUUGAAAGUAUCCUAUUCUUUUCUGGUUUAAAACCUUUUAUUGCAUGAAAAGUGAAGCAUUCCCCUCUGAAGUUUGAUUUCAUGUUUACUCAUAAACAGCAGCUGCUCUCAAAAGUUGUUCACUUAAUCCCUGGUACCAAAAAAAAAAAUUGUUCACUUUUCCUUGGCCUGGUGGCACAUGCCUGUAAUCCCAGCACUUAGAAGGCUGAAGCAGGAGGAUUGCUGUAAAUUCAAGGCCAGUCUGAACUACAUAGUGAGACCCUGUCUCAAAAAACAAACAAACAAAAGUUGUCCACUUCUGAGUAAUUGUGAGUUUGCCUCAGAGCACACAAAUGCUCUAAAGGGCUUUUUGUUUUAUGUCGUAGGAGAAGUGGGCAGAAUGAGCUGGAUGCUCAGAAGUUUGCAAGUUAAGCCAUGGAGCAGAAGCAGGGAGGGGACACUACAUCUGGUCUUCUCUCUGCCUAGAUCUAUUUCCAACUUAAAGUCUAAGCAGGGUGUUUUCAUUCAGCACCUUUCAAAGGACACUUGGAGUUUACCUAGCAUUUCCCCAGAGAUGACAGGAACAAAAUCCUACACGUCAAGAUCUCCCCAGAACUUUCCAGGUUAUUGAAGGUCUCUCUCCCUCCCUCAACUCUGGAAUGGAAGAAUGUGGAGGUAAACAAGCCCAGGUGGGUUGCCCCCUCCACCUUUCUCUGCCUCUCUUCUUUGAACCAAACAGGCUUUGUUUCCCCUUCUCUCCUUUCCCAGGAGGGAUUGCUCUAAUGUCAUAGCCUCUUCCUUCCCCAAAUGGCAUGUUCUGUUACCCUUUUCUGUAACCACAAAGGCAGAAAGAACCAAGCUCACUGAUGAGGGGGUAAUUCAAACUCCUUCAGUUAGCAUAUCUGUCUGAAAAUAUAUAGUCAUCUAUGUCCUCAUUUGUGUCCCUAGAAGGGCAGGAUUGUGCUUGCCUCACGGACUGUUAUAUCCCCACUACUUGGCAUGAUGCUGCUAUCAUAAGUUAACGAGAAUGCAGCAAGCUUGGAAUAACAAAAAUGUAUUAUCUCGUAGUUCCCAUGGAUUAGGAGUCAGGCAUGGCAUAACUUGGUCAUCUUCUUAGGUGACCUGUAUUCAAGAUGUCAACCACCAAGAGACAGGAUCUCAUCCGAGGCUCAAGGACUUUAUAUGGUUGUUGGCAGAAUCCAUUUCCCUGCCACUAUAGAGCAAUAGUGACUUGCUGCAAAGCAAGCAAGAGGCUCUUUCUGACACUUUCAGAGCUUUCAUUUGAUUUAGACUCAUCCAAGAUAAUUGCCCUUUUGAUUAGCUCAAAAUCAACUGAUUUGCAAAGCUUUUAACCUUUGCCAUAAAGCCCAAUCCAAUCACAGGUGCAGCAUUCAUCAUAUUUUCAGGUCCUGCCCACAGUGGAAGGAAACACAAAGAAUGAGUCAUUGAGAAUCAUCUUAGGACUCUGCCUGCUAUGGUACCUCAAAGGUUUGUUGAAUGAAUAAAUGAAAACAAGAAGAAAGAUAUGUACCCCAUUUGUCCUUACAAUAAUUCCAGGAUGUAGGCAGUAUCACAAAGGAUUUGCCUUUAUUCAAAGAGGUAGAAAUUGCAAGAUAGGCUGAAGACUAAGGUCUGUUUGAGUCCUCAGAAAAAUAUUCCCCUCAAACCUCAGCUGUGGUAUGCUGUGUGUGACCAGUGCCUUUCACACAAACAGGUUCAGCCCUUCUGCUCCCACUCUCAGGUUAGAGCCAGCCAUGAGGUGGAGCCACAGGCCCAUGAGUGCUUUCACUGUUCAUCCUCCCAAACACUGGGUCACCCACAG
Molecule: long non-coding RNA, 3433 nt
Filed under: Heterocephalus glaber (naked mole-rat)
Lineage: Eukaryota; Metazoa; Chordata; Mammalia; Rodentia; Bathyergidae
Description: lncRNA (ENSHGLG00100043958.1)
Source: RNAcentral